CGCGAUAAGUAGACCGCCUGGGGAGUACGGUCGCAAGACUAAAACUCAAAUGAAUUGACGGGGGCCCGCACAAGCGGUGGAGCAUGUGGUUUAAUUCGAUGCAACGCGAAGAACCUUACCUGGCCUUGACAUACUAAGAACUUUCCAGAGAUGGAUUGGUGCCUUCGGGAACUUAGAUACAGGUGCUGCAUGGCUGUCGUCAGCUCGUGUCGUGAGAUGUUGGGUUAAGUCCCGCAACGAGCGCAACCCUUUUCCUUAUUUGCCAGCGGGUAAUGCCGGGAACCUUAAGGAUACUGCCAGUGACAAACUGGAGGAAGGCGGGGACGACGUCAAGUCAUCAUGGCCCUUACGGCCAGGGCUACACACGUGCUACAAUGGUCGGUACAAAGGGUUGCUACCUCGCGAGAGGAUGCUAAUCUCAAAAAGCCGAUCGUAGUCCGGAUCGCAGUCUGCAACUCGACUGCGUGAAGUCGGAAUCGCUAGUAAUCGCGGAUCAGAAUGCCGCGGUGAAUACGUUCCCGGGCCUUGUACACACCGCCCGUCACACCAUGGGAGUUUGUUGCACCAGAAGUAGGUAGUCUAACCGCAAGGAGGACGC
This 598-nucleotide ribosomal RNA is filed under the name Acinetobacter sp. Its description in RNAcentral is "bacterial SSU rRNA". It matches the Rfam family "Bacterial small subunit ribosomal RNA", at positions 856 to 1453 of the family's 1533-position model. Lineage: Bacteria; Pseudomonadati; Pseudomonadota; Gammaproteobacteria; Moraxellales; Moraxellaceae. The record is from RNAcentral.